GAAACUCGGGCUGAAAUACACCGUUUGCUGAAGAGCAGGGCUGGGCACUGGUUUCUCUGCGUUCUGAAUUUCUAGAAAGGAGCCGAGCAUAGAUUGAUGUGGCAUAAGUGCUCAAUAAAUGCCCAUGGACUUGGCUAAUGGAUGGACUUGCAGGGGACACUGCCCCAUCAGGAGAGAAAGUGCCGUGGACACUGCCAGAAUUUGUCAAAGGUCCUAGGAAGAAAAGGCUCUUUCACCCCUCCCCUCAAUGAACAGAUGGCGUGUUUGGACUGUUCGCAUUCGCUCCUCAUAGGUGGGAUCCUGGAGGAAGUUAAGGGGUGCUCCGUUCCCUGGGGAUGGGACAGCAGCUCGCCUUUUUACUAAUAGCUAUAAGGGACUGUCAGACAUUUACCUGACUAGACCUUCACCUCAGAGCUCAGAAGGGGAACAGCUCCAGAACUAAAAGAGAGAGCCUCUGGCAGACCCCAAAAGACAGCAUGUGGAGUGAAGCUGGGCUUCCCUGCCCAAUCACUAGGAUCAUUUAUUGCACAAAUACCUGUAUUUUAAGCUGCAGAUUAUUGUGAAUUUUUGUAUUUUCUUCAUUUCCAUUUAGCUUUUUUUCAAUUUUAGAAUAGCCUUUCUCUAGAUAACUCGAGGAAGUGGGAGACGGAAUUUCCUUUGUUUCUGUCUUGAGCCCAAAGGGACAAUUGAGUGUCAGGUAUGACAGGGAUAAAGGGAGAAACUCAGAAAUAAUGCUUUUGUUUUGUUUUGUUUUGUUUUGAGAUGGAGUCUCGCUCUUGUCGCCCAGGCUGGAGUGCAAUGGCAUGAUCUUGGCUCACUGCAAACUCCACCUCCUGGGUUCAAGCGAUUCUCCUCCUCAGCCUCCCAAGUAGAUGGGCUUACAGGCAAGCGCCAUCACGCCCGGCUAAUUUUGUAUUUUUAGUAGAGAUGGGGUUUCACCAUAUUGGUCAGUCCGGUCUUGAACUCCUGACCUUGUGAUCCACCCACCUUGGCCUCUCAAAGUGCUGGGAUUACAGGCAUGAGCCACCGCACCCAGCCAGAGGAAUGUUUUGGGUGCUACACGUGCAGCCCCUCAUGACUGUAUCUCCUCAGAGCUCUUUUCUUCACAUUCCUGAGUGCUUUGUGUUUUGUUUAUUUAAGGGACAAAUGAAUCUCUUCCCACGCCAUGGGAUUUCCCUUGAUUUUUAUAUUGGGAGUGAAAAGAUGAAGCAUGAGACUCUUCAGCUGCAUCUCGAACUGCAUCUAAUCCCAGCACAUCUCUCUCAAUCUUUGAUUAAGUCUGUUCAUCUAAAAGAGAGACACAGGGGAAAAAUGGAAAUGGGACUUUGGAAGAAUGACCAUCCACAUUCCCAUCACAGCCUGAGAUUUCCUACCUGAUUGAGAUUUUCAGUAGAUGGCCCUAGGUCUAGUUUCCCACUUUGGACCUGCUGCCCUUGGCUCCAAUAGAGGACUUCCAAGUAACUAGGAAGAUUUCACCUCUCUUUUGAAACAUAAUGGACAAAUGUGUUUCUUUAGGAUGAGAGGUGCACCUGGCUAGUCAAUCUUUAUUUUCCUAAAAUAAACAGGAUGAAAACUCAAAACAAAAAGAAAUACCUCAUGGGCAAAAGCUCUCCCAAUACAACUAAUACAGACACUCAACAUGGCUUUGUAGAAACUGACCCCUCUCCCAAGUCUUAUGUUUGUCAGAAUUGCAUGCCUAUUUCAAUCGAAGAAAAGUGAUCUGAUCUCUUCAGAUGAAGGUGGGACUUGGAGAUGCUGCUGCCUAGAGUUAACUUGCCAGAGAAAGGAUAAGCAUUCGGGAAGUGCCAGGAUGGGGUAUCAGCUGAACAAUGGCAGGAUCCCUUCUGCCAGUGGGCUGGCUCAGGGAGUAAACCUCCCCGGAAGGAAUUUUGUUUCUCUCUAGAAUCAAAGUGGGCAAAAUGAUCACCUUAUUCGCCUGGAGUGAACCAGGUUGAAACUGAGAAGGCAGACAUGGGUGAUAAGCCAGAUGAAGUCAUAUGUUAUAACUAAGCUAUGUACCUGUAACUUGCCUGGUAGUUUUUUCAUUCUCUCUAAACAGGUCAUAAUAAGUGUUAGUCUGUGAUCCACUAUGGAGAGAGAUUUCUGGAAAGAAUAGAGGCAGUGGUAGAGGGUCCAAGGUUGUUAUUUAAGGAGAUGAAUGUGGGUCAGGUGCCGUGGCUCACACCUGUAAUCCCAGCAUUUUGGGAGGCAGAGGCAGGAGGAUUGCUUAAGGCCAGAGUUCAAGACCAAACUGGCCAAUAUAGUGAGAUCCCCCCCCCAUCUCUACAAAAGAUAGAAAAACUUAGCCAGGCAUGGUGGCAGGUGCUAUAGUCCCUGCCACCAUGGGACUACAGCUCCUGCAGUCCCAGCUACUCAGGAGUUGAGGCGGAAGGAUUGCUUGAGCCCAGAAGUUCGAGGUUGCAGUGAGCCAUGAUCAUGCCACUGCACUCCUCCGUGGGUGACAGAGCGAGACCUGACUCAAUAAUAAUAAUAUUAAUAAUAAUGAUAAUGCAACACAAACUAUCUUUUACCUCUUGAACAAUGAAUGCAGAUGCCAUGACUACAUCUGUUUGUUGGGGACCAGGGAGGCUGCCAGUGAGGAUUCAGGGUGGAAGUAGUGUGUACCCAAUACCUAUUGUGAGAUGUGGCCUGGGGAGCCCUGAGAUUGCCUGGCCAGGCUCACUCACUACCCAGACACCCUCUUCCUGCAUGGCGAGUCCCUCAGCCCCUCCAAGGCUCAAUUCUCAGACAUCGGAGUAAUCCACAUCCUCCAUCUUGAGUUACUCCUCACAAGGCCUGCAAGUUUUCCUAGGAGGAAGGGAAGACAGGGUUGAACCCACACAAUUCUAGAAUCUAGAAUUUGGAGGAUUUCUAAACCAUUUCUGUAAGUCAGCCCUUGAGAACUUGUAGAUUUUCUCAUCAUUUGCAGCAUGAGAGUCUGGAGUAGACUGUUUGGAUUUGACUCUUGGUUCCUUGGGCAAGUUACUUAACCUCUCAGCUGUGUGUCAGUUUCCUUAUCUAAAAAGUGUGGUUAAUAAUAACUGACCUCUCAGAGGUAUUGUGAGGUUACUGUGAUGAUUAAAUUAGUUGAUUCAUAUAAAAUGUUUAAAAGAGUGCCUGGCAUUAUUAUUAAUAGUAAUAAGUUUAGCAUAAGUCUUGCCUGCCAAUAAGGAGCUGGAUUGAAUGACUACUUUGAUUCUAUUUCUUGGCCUUCUCUUCUCUGGACUAGGUGACCCCAACUUUCUCCUUACUCCUGAAAAAUUUAUCCCAGUCUGCUAAGGAAGAGAAAGCCCAUGUGUGCACAUACACACAUGCACCUACACAAACAUUUACAUACAGUUUUGCUCUUCUAUACAGAGUUAAUAGAGCUACUAGAGUGUCUAGGAACCAAUCUGAAAGAGAAAGGAAACACUGCUUUUUUUUUGUUUGUUUUUUGAGAUGGAGUCUCACUCUGUCACCAGGCUGGAGUGCAGUGGCGCAAUUGUGGCUCACUGCAAACUCCACUUCCCUAGUUCAAAUGAUUCUCCUGCCUCAGCCUCCCGAGUAGCUGGGACUACAGGCGUGCAUCACCACACCCAGCUAAUUUUUGUAUUUUUAGUAGAGAUGGGGUUUCACCAUGUUGGCUAGGAUGGUCUUGAUCUCUUGACCUCGUGAUCUGCCUGCCUCAGCCUCUCAAAGAGCUGGGAUUACAGGCAUGAGUCACCACGCCCGGCCGAAACACUGCUUAUUACAAUUUAUAGGUUUAUGUUCAAAAAGUUGCUAAUCUUAUUGCUGUGAACCCCUGCCAUCUCUAGUCCUGCCCACCUAUAGGUACUGCAGACCAAAUUACAGAUUCAGAUUUGCCCAGUUCCUGUUCCUGUCUUGACCAAUCCUAGUAACUUAUUUGGGGCCCAGCCCCAUCUUCAGUGGAAGGUCUAAAAUUGGCCUUGCUUCCUUAAGCUGGGUACACAGUGGGCCCAGGACUAAGCCUCAUGAAGCUUUUAGAGGCCCACUGAGAUUAACCUUUCUCACCAGUGCUCACCUUGUCUUCCUAGUGACCAUGGCUGCCUUCUGUCUAGUUCUAGAGUUGCACUCUAAUUCUCUUCCAGCGCUGUUGCCCUGAUCUACAUAUCUAUCUCUUUUAGAACUUUCCAGCUUAUGUGUCCAAUGUCAGUCUUUCUUCCAAAUAAAUAGAACUUUAUCUUG
RNAcentral lists this long non-coding RNA (4185 nucleotides) under Homo sapiens (human). RNAcentral's name for it is "PREDICTED lncRNA (TCONS_00050231)". The record is from RNAcentral. Lineage: Eukaryota; Metazoa; Chordata; Mammalia; Primates; Hominidae.